This 495-nucleotide small RNA is filed under the name Pan troglodytes (chimpanzee). RNAcentral's name for it is "processed transcript". Lineage: Eukaryota; Metazoa; Chordata; Mammalia; Primates; Hominidae. The record is from RNAcentral.
GAGAGCUCAGUGGAGAGCGGGGAGUUGUGUCCACCUUGCCGACGUCGCUAGCCGUGGGGCUGUCCUGGGAAGGCGGACGGCGAGCGCCCGGUGUCCGCACUCGGCCGCCUGCCGUGCCCGUCUGCGCCCGUGUCAUCCUCACUCGGGACGCAGGGACCGUUUUUAAAUCACAGGGGCGUGUGUCAGCCUGCCCUAGGACUUCAUGUCUAUAUAUUUCCCCAUUCACUGCCCCGACUAUCUGAGAUCGGCCGAGAUGACUGAGGUGAUGAUGAACACCCAGCCCAUGGAGGAGAUCGGCCUCAGCCCCCGCAAGGAUGGCCUUUCCUACCAGAUGGAGUCUCGCUCUGUCGCCCAGACUGGAGUCCAGUGGCGUGAUCUCGGCUCACCGCAAGCUCCGCCUCCCGGGUUCACACCAUUUUCCUGCCUCAGCCUCCGGAGUAGCUGGGAAUACAGGCGCCCACCACCAUGCCCGGCUAAUUUUUUUUGUAUUUUUAG